This 253-nucleotide ribosomal RNA is filed under the name uncultured bacterium. RNAcentral's name for it is "partial 16S ribosomal RNA". It matches the Rfam family "Bacterial small subunit ribosomal RNA", at positions 524 to 776 of the family's 1533-position model. The record is from RNAcentral.
UACGAAGGGGGCGAGCGUUGUUCGGAUUUACUGGGCGUAAAGGGCGCGUAGGCGGCCUCGCAAGUCGAGUGUGAAAGCCCCGGGCUCAACCUGGGAACUGCGUCUGAUACUGGAUGGCUUGAGUGUGGGAGAGGGAUGCGGAAUUCCAGGUGUAGCGGUGAAAUGCGUAGAUAUCUGGAGGAACACCGGUGGCGAAGGCGGCAUCCUGGACCAUUACUGACACUGAAAAGCGAAAGCCAGGGGAGCAAACGGG